UCCUACGGGAGGCAGCAGUGGGGAAUUUUGCGCAAUGGGGGAAACCCUGACGCAGCAACGCCGCGUGGAGGAUGAAGUACUUCGGUACGUAAACUCCUUUCGAUCGGGACGAUAAUGACGGUACCGGAAGAAGAAGCCCCGGCUAACUUCGUGCCAGCAGCCGCGGUAAUACGAGGGGGGCAAGCGUUGUUCGGAAUUAUUGGGCGUAAAGGGUGCGUAGGCGGUUUGGUAAGUCUCUUGUGAAAUCUAUGGGCUCAACUCAUAGACUGCAAGGGAAACUGCCGGGCUUGAGUAUGGGAGAGGUGAGUGGAAUUCCUGGUGUAGCGGUGAAAUGCGUAGAUAUCAGGAGGAACACCUGUGGCGAAAGCGGCUCACUGGACCAUAACUGACGCUGAUGCACGAAAGCUAGGGGAGCAAACAGGAUUAGAUACCCUGGUAGUCCUAGCCCUAAACGAUGACUGCUUGGUGUGGCGGGUACCCAAUCCCGCCGUGCCGUAGCUAACGCGUUAAGCAGUCCGCCUGGGGAGUACGGUCGCAAGGCUGAAACUCAAAUGAAUUGACGGA
This 564-nucleotide ribosomal RNA is filed under the name uncultured soil bacterium. RNAcentral's name for it is "bacterial SSU rRNA". It matches the Rfam family "Bacterial small subunit ribosomal RNA", at positions 337 to 917 of the family's 1533-position model. The record is from RNAcentral.